Syngnathus acus (greater pipefish) is the source of this 253-nucleotide long non-coding RNA. RefSeq lists it as uncharacterized. Lineage: Eukaryota; Metazoa; Chordata; Actinopteri; Syngnathiformes; Syngnathidae. The transcript is spliced from 2 exons. The record is from RefSeq and is a predicted model, not a curated record.
CCUAUACAUUUGGAUCAUUUUCAUAGUCAAAAUAGCUGUAUUUCUUGUUCAAAUAACAACGGGAGACGAGAAUCAUGGAGGCUGAGGCAGUGACAGGGAGUGCCUCUCAGGGCGUGCGUGUGAGAGUGUGCACCACUCACACACUGUACUGAGCGCAGCCAGUACUUUUGCCUCAAAGAUGGGGCGAUAGUGAGCCUGCGGCUAAUCCUUCACGACACGAGUAAAUGCGAGAGUAAAUUAAGAAGAAAAAAAA